GGUAGUUAAGUCAGAAGUGAAAUCCAAUAGCUCAACUAUUGAACUGCUUUUGAAACUGAUUACCUAGAAUAUGGGAGAGGUAGAUGGAAUUUCUGGUGUAGGGGUAAAGUCCGUAGAGAUCAGAAGGAAUACCGAUUGCGAAGGCGAUCUACUGGAACAUUAUUGACGCUGAGACGCGAAAGCGUGGGGAGCAAACAGGAUUAGAUACCCUGGUAGUCCACGCCCUAAACGAUGUACACUAGUUGUUGUGAGGCUCGACCUUGCAGUAAUGCAGUUAACACAUUAAGUGUACCGCCUGGGGAGUACGGUCGCAAGAUUAAGACUCAAAGGAAUAGACGGGGACCCGCACAAGCGGUGGAGCAUGUGGUUUAAUUCGACGAUACACGAAGGACCUUACCUGGACUUGACAUAGUAAGAACUUUCUAGAGAUAGAUUGGUGUCUGCUUGCAGAAACUUAUAUACAGGUGCUGCACGGCUGUCGUCAGCUCGUGUCGUGAGAUGUUGGGUUAAGUCCCGCAACGAGCGCAACCCUCGUCAUUAGUUGCUAACAGUUCGGCUGAGAACUCUAAUGAGACUGCCUACGCAAGUAGGAGGAAGGUGAGGACGACGUCAAGUCAUCAUGGCCCUUACGUCCAGGGCUACACACGUGCUACAAUGGGGUAUACAAAGAGCCGCAAUACGGUGACGUGGAGCAAAUCUCAAAAAUAUCUCCCAGUUCGGAUUGUAGUCUGCAACUCGACUACAUGAAGUUGGAAUCGCUA
Molecule: ribosomal RNA, 761 nt
Filed under: uncultured Arcobacter sp.
Lineage: Bacteria; Pseudomonadati; Campylobacterota; Epsilonproteobacteria; Campylobacterales; Arcobacteraceae
Description: bacterial SSU rRNA
Rfam family: Bacterial small subunit ribosomal RNA
Source: RNAcentral